This is a long non-coding RNA of Betta splendens (Siamese fighting fish), 492 nucleotides long. RefSeq lists it as uncharacterized. The transcript has 3 exons. The record is from RefSeq and is a predicted model, not a curated record. Lineage: Eukaryota; Metazoa; Chordata; Actinopteri; Anabantiformes; Osphronemidae.
CAUCUGACCUGGAAACUUUUGUUUUUAGCCUGGACAUAACUUCGGCUAGCUAGUAAAGUUAGCUAACUUGUUCUCCACCGGCGCCACAGAAAUAUUCUAUUUAAACCUAUUUAACUCCUCAUUAAUGAUGUUUACGACAGAACAGCAGUUUGAAGCGGAGCCUCAGCCCGCACACCUGCCGUUACAGCUCGUUCAAUCUCCGCUAACGGGAGGGAGUCGGAGCUGACGGCCAUGAUGGCUUCGACUUUAGGUCCAACUUUGGUAACUUCAGUCACCGACUGUGAUGUGGUGGACUCCUCUUCACCUCCACCCAUACCAAGCAUCAUCAGAAUGCACGAGCGAAACUGAAAGUCUGGUCCACAGGAGCACUGGAGGCCUUCUGGGAUAUACCUGGAGGAGUAGUCACAGGCACAAUGAGUGUGAAGCCCCUGUUUCGUUUUAGCAUGUAGUUUUUGCUUGUUGCAUACCUGCUCCAUCCUACCAGUGGAGGAA